This 73-nucleotide transfer RNA is filed under the name Rhizoctonia sp. AG-Fa. Its description in RNAcentral is "tRNA-His". Lineage: Eukaryota; Fungi; Basidiomycota; Agaricomycetes; Cantharellales; Ceratobasidiaceae. The record is from RNAcentral.
GGUAGAAUUAAUUUAAUUGGCAAAAUGGCCUUUUGUGGUGAGGCUUUUUACGGUUCAAGUCCGUAAUUUUACC